Molecule: transfer RNA, 27 nt
Filed under: Diodontus minutus
Lineage: Eukaryota; Metazoa; Arthropoda; Insecta; Hymenoptera; Crabronidae
Description: partial tRNA-Trp
Source: RNAcentral
AAAAAUAUUAUUUUUUAAUAAGUUUUA